RNAcentral lists this unclassified non-coding RNA (377 nucleotides) under uncultured bacterium. RNAcentral's name for it is "contains 16S-23S intergenic spacer region". The record is from RNAcentral.
UCGCUGCUUGCGCAGGCAGUCUCACUAGAGUCCCCGGCUUGACCCGCUGGUAACUAGCGAUAGGGGUUGCGUUCGUUGCGGGACUUAACCCAACAUCUCACGACACGAACUGACGACAGCCAUGCAGCACCUCGCUACCAGUCCGAAGAAGGGCCCCUUUCAGGGCCUGUCCGGUAGCGUUCGAGCCUGGGUAAGGUUCUUCGCGUUGCAUCGAAUUAAUCAGCAUGCUCCGCCGCUUGUGCGGGCCCCCGUCAAUUCCUUUGAGUUUUAGCCUUGCGGCCGUACUCCCCAGGCGGGGCGCUUAAUGCGUUAGCUACGGCACAGAACCCGUCGAUGGGGUCCCACACCUAGUGCCCAACGUUUACGGCGUGGACUAC